Cyprinus carpio carpio is the source of this 1038-nucleotide long non-coding RNA. The record is from Ensembl. Lineage: Eukaryota; Metazoa; Chordata; Actinopteri; Cypriniformes; Cyprinidae.
GGCCUCAGGGCCCACAGUUAACCAAUAACAUCAUGUACUAUCAGAGAAAAGAUAAAAAGAUGAACAGAUUAAAAGCAUUCUCACUGAUUAGAUUUCUUUUCCAGCUCCUUGGUAUGCUAAGACACUCUUACAUCUGCCUUGAGUUGAUCCAUUUAAUUACCGCAAUAAAAGUAAAGCAAGAACCCCUUCUCUGGCCUCGCCGUGACAGAGUCCUGGUCUCUCUGUCAGUCAUGUUUGUUGCGAGGGGAGUGAUGAUGCUAAUUAUGAGUGUGAUGCAUCCACAGGAUAUUGCAGCCAUGGUGCUUAGUUGGCAGUGUGGACAGGUGGCAUCUCAUGCAUAUUCAUGGACCAGCCCUCGUUCGCUGACAGCACCGAUGGUUGCUGGCUUACAGAAAGAAAGUGCAGAAAGCAUUGACAUGCAGCGUGCAUCAACAAUUUGACCCCAACCCACUGAGGUCACAAAACAAGUCGAUGCUUUCCUGCUCUGGCUUUUUCCUGAUGCCUGAAAUGUUUAGUUUGACUCAACUGCUUUUGAGAGAAACCGCAGAACUCUGGAUAUAACAAACAUAUGCUAAAAGUGCCUGGAUGUUUUUAAUAUACGAAUGAUGAGUCUUACCUUUAAGGCUUUGCUUUGUUUCCUUCCUUAAGGAGAGGGGUGAAAAUGGAGAGCAUUUGUCAUGUAGCAUGUGUUUUAAAACUCAUUUUAAUUUAUUUUGAGGCUAAAUUAAAUGUUCGUUUUAUUUCCAUUUUUAUUGUUAUUAUUUUUGUAUUUUGUCUGUUUGUUUGUUUUUGUUGUACAGUACUUUGUUUAAUUCAAUGUAAAUGUAAAUCCAAACUAAAAAAAAAUAAAAAAUAUGGGCUGGUAAAAACAGGGCAAGGAUCGAAAAUUAACUUUUUGCCAGACCUGCCAAUGUUGAGUAAAUGAAUAAAAAUAUACAAAUAUUCACUGACAAAGAAACUGGAUUUUGCAUUAUUAGAUUUUAUUAUUAUAUUUUUCUUUAUGACAACAGAAUUAUUGUAAUAUUGCAUAUUAGUGAC